CUUAUCCUCUCGCCAACACAGCACAGCCACGUCUUCUCUCUCUCCUCGUUUCUUCAAGCUGAUUUCUCCUCCAUCACGCACCGUGUCUCCAACUUUGAUGUGGCUCUGCCGGCUGCCACUUCCUUUCUCAACCACGGCGAUCCGCCACCAUCUCCCUUCGCACCAGCAGCGAGCCUUCUGCACCCCACGCGAUCCAUCGCCACCACUGUUUCUCGCCCCAGGGCGCCCCGGCCUCACUCCAACCUUCCCACUCCCCACUCUCCACCUUCGCCGGACCCCUCCUCGCCGACUUACCCCACAUGGCGAGGCGUGCCGUGAUACCGUCGCCCGAGCUCCGACGACAACAUCCCUGUCCUCCUUGAUCUCAUGUUCUCAACCCCCAAUGCGCAGGAAGGAAGUGGUCGGCUGUUUGGGUGUCGUCGUUCCUUGCCAAGUGCCCGGCACGCAUCUAGUGUCCCCCUCCAACCAAGCUCCACUCCGCCGUAGUUGGGGCUUAGAAUGCCCUUUGUCGACCGGGAGGAGUCAUAGCAGCUUGCUCUGCAACUGCACUGUCAAGUCAGCAAGCCAUUUUCAUGUGGUAGCUUGGCGUUGGUACCACUAUCAACCAGAUGAAUAACAACGAGGUUUGUUGCAUUGGAAAUCCAAUUAACAAUGGGGACCUUGUUGCGACUAUUGAAUGAAUGGGAGAUCCAACUGCUUGUGCUUCUCAGUUUCAUGCUACAAAUAUUCCUCUUUUUUACUGGCAGCCUUCGACGACGUGGCGCUAAGUUUCUUAGUGGCAUCAUUUGGAUAGCUUAUUUAGUGGCAGACAUGGUAGCAGUUUACACCCUUGGUUUACUCUCAAAACAAGCGGAAAACACCACCCAACUGACAGAAAACCACCCACUAGCUUUCUUUUGGGCACCCUUCCUACUGCUUCAUCUUGGCGGACAGGACACCAUCACUGCUUUUUCCUUGGAGGACAACAGUUUGUGGUUGAGGCAUUUGUUAAAUUUGAUAGUCCAAGUGGUCCUAGCCUUGUAUGUCUUCUGGAAGUCUACUGCUUGGCGAAAUGUGCAGAUUCUUGUUCCGGGCAUCUUUAUGUUUGUUGCUGGAAUCAUUAAGUAUGGGGAGAGGACGAUCGCUCUCAUGUACGGGAACUUACAAAACAUCAGUGGCUACAAUAGUAAUGAAGAAGAAAAUA
Triticum aestivum (bread wheat) is the source of this 1183-nucleotide long non-coding RNA. RefSeq lists it as uncharacterized. The transcript is spliced from 2 exons. The record is from RefSeq and is a predicted model, not a curated record. Lineage: Eukaryota; Viridiplantae; Streptophyta; Magnoliopsida; Poales; Poaceae.